AGUAGCGAAGGUCAUGAUCUCAGACUGCCAAGAAAAGCCUCUAGCCAGGAGAAGGUGCCCGUACCGCAAACCGACACAGGUAGGCGAGAAGAGAAUUCUAAGGCGCGCGGAAGAACUCUCGUUAAGGAACUCGGCAAAAUGACCCCGUAACUUCGGGAGAAGGGGUGCCUCGGUAGGGUGAAUAGCCCGAGGGGGCCGCAGUGAAAAGGCCCAAGCGACUGUUUAGCAAAAACACAGGUCUGUGCGAAGCCGCAAGGCGAAGUAUACGGGCUGACGCCUGCCCGGUGCUGGAAGGUUAAGGGGAGUGGUAAGCUCGCAAGAGCGAAGCUAUGAACCGAAGCCCCAGUAAACGGCGGCCGUAACUAUAACGGUCCUAAGGUAGCGAAAUUCCUUGUCAGGUAAAUUCUGACCCGCACGAAUGGCGUAACGACUUGGGCGCUGUCUCAACGAGAGAUCCGGUGAAAUUUUAAUACCUGUGAAGAUGCAGGUUACCCGCGACAAGACGGAAAGACCCCAUGGAGCUUUACUGCAGCUUGAUAUUGAAUUUGGGUACGAUCUGUACAGGAUAGGUGGGAGCCGUUGAACCUUGAGCGCCAGCUUGAGGGGAGGCAUCCUUGGGAUACCACCCUGAUCGUAUCUAGGUUCUAACUUGGUACCGUGAUCCGGUACGAGGACAGUGUCAGGUGGGCAGUUUGACUGGGGCGGUCGCCUCCUAAAGAGUAACGGAGGCGCCCCAAGGUUCCCUCAGAAUGGUUGGAAAUCAUUCGAAGAGUGCAAAGGCAGAAGGGAGCUUGACUGCGAGACCUACAAGUCGAGCAGGGACGAAAGUCGGGCUUAGUGAUCCGGUGGUACCGCAUGGAAGGGCCAUCGCUCAACGGAUAAAAGCUACCCUGGGGAUAACAGGCUUAUCUCCCCCAAGAGUCCACAUCGACGGGGAGGUUUGGCACCUCGAUGUCGGCUCAUCGCAUCCUGGGGCUGAAGUAGGUCCCAAGGGUUGGGCUGUUCGCCCAUUAAAGCGGUACGCGAGCUGGGUUCAGAACGUCGUGAGACAGUUCGGUCCCUAUCUGUCGUGGGCGUAGGAAAUUUGAGAGGAGCUGUCCUUAGUACGAGAGGACCGGGAUGGACGUACCGCUGGUGUACCAGUUGUUCCGCCAGGAGCACCGCUGGGUAGCUAUGUACGGAAGGGAUAAGCGCUGAAAGCAUCUAAGCGUGAAGCCCCCCUCAAGAUGAGAUUUCCCAGUAUGUAAGACCCCUUGAAGACGACGGGUAGAUAGGUUGGGGGUGGAAGUGCAGUAAUGCAUGGAGCUGACCAAUACUAAUCGGUCGAGGGCUUAUCCU
RNAcentral lists this ribosomal RNA (1338 nucleotides) under Paenibacillus polymyxa ATCC 842. RNAcentral's name for it is "bacterial LSU rRNA". It matches the Rfam family "Bacterial large subunit ribosomal RNA", at positions 1581 to 2925 of the family's 2925-position model. The record is from RNAcentral. Lineage: Bacteria; Bacillati; Bacillota; Bacilli; Caryophanales; Paenibacillaceae.